RNAcentral lists this ribosomal RNA (609 nucleotides) under uncultured Planctomycetales bacterium. RNAcentral's name for it is "bacterial SSU rRNA". It matches the Rfam family "Bacterial small subunit ribosomal RNA", at positions 316 to 916 of the family's 1533-position model. The record is from RNAcentral. Lineage: Bacteria; Pseudomonadati; Planctomycetota; Planctomycetia; Planctomycetales.
GAAAUAUCCUGCAGGUCGAGAUUCCUACGGGAGGCAGCAGUGGGGAAUAUUGCGCAAUGCGCGCAAGCGUGACGGAGCGACGCCGCGUGGGUGAUGAAGGCCUUCGGGUUGUAAAGCCCUGUCAGCUGCCACGAAUGGCGGGUCGUGAAUAGCGAUCCCGUUUGACCAAGCAGCAGAGGAAGCACCGGCUAAAUACGUGCCAGCAGCCGCGGUAAUACGUAUGGUGCAAACGUUGUUCGGAAUCACUGGGCUUAAAGCGGGCGUAGGCGGUCUGGUAAGUUUGUUGUGAAAGCCCUCGGCUCAACCGAGGAAUUGCAACGGAUACUGCCAGGCUAGAGUGCAGGAGGGGAGAGUGGAAUUCCUGGUGGAGCGGUGAAAUGCGUAGAUAUCAGGAGGAACGCCGGUGGCGAAAGCGACUCUCUGGCCUGUUACUGACGCUGAGGCCCGAAAGCUAGGGGAGCGAACGGGAUUAGAUACCCCGGUAGUCCUAGCCCUAAACGAUGGGCACUAGGUAGAGGGCGUUCCGAUACCUUCUCUGCCGAAGCUAACGUAAUUAGUGCCCCGCCUGGGGAGUAUAGUCGCAAGGCUGAAACUCAAAUGAAUUGACGG